GGCCCCGUAGCUCAGUGGAUAGAGCGGCAGACUUCGAAUCUGCGUGCGGUGGUUCGACUCCACCCGGGGCCA
This 72-nucleotide transfer RNA is filed under the name Psychrobacter sp. RNAcentral's name for it is "tRNA-Arg". It matches the Rfam family "tRNA". From Rfam's summary of the family: Transfer RNA (tRNA) molecules are approximately 80 nucleotides in length. Their secondary structure includes four short double-helical elements and three loops (D, anti-codon, and T loops). Lineage: Bacteria; Pseudomonadati; Pseudomonadota; Gammaproteobacteria; Moraxellales; Moraxellaceae. The record is from RNAcentral. RNAcentral also lists the same sequence under 5 other names.